Molecule: ribosomal RNA, 141 nt
Filed under: uncultured bacterium
Lineage: Bacteria
Description: partial 16S ribosomal RNA
Rfam family: Bacterial small subunit ribosomal RNA
Source: RNAcentral
UGGGGAAGUAUUUGCACAAUGGGGGAAACCCUGAUGCAGCGACGCCGCGUGAAGGAAGAAGUAUCUCGGUAUGUAAACUUCUAUCAGCAGGGAAGAUAGUGACGGUACCUGACUAAGAAGCCCCGGCUAACUACGUGCCAG